CCUACGGGGCGCAGCAGUGAGGAAUCUUGGUCAAUGGACGAGAGUCUGAACCAGCCAAGUCGCGUGAAGGAUGACUGCCCUAUGGGUUGUAAACUUCUUUUAUAUGGGAAUAAAAUGUUCCACGUGUGGGAUUUUGUAUGUACCAUAUGAAUAAGGAUCGGCUAACUCCGUGCCAGCAGCCGCGGUAAUACGGUGGAUCGGUGCGUUAUCCGGAUUUAUUGGGUUUAAAGGGCGCGUAGGUGGUUUGUUAAGUCAGUUGUGAAAGUUUCCGGCUCAACCGGAAAAUGGCAGUUGAAAAUGGCAGUCUUGAGUACAGUAGAGGAGAGCGGAAUUCGUGGUGUAGCGGUGAAAUGCGUAGAUAUCGCGAAGAACUCCGAUUGCGAAGGCAG
Molecule: ribosomal RNA, 389 nt
Filed under: uncultured bacterium
Lineage: Bacteria
Description: partial 16S ribosomal RNA
Rfam family: Bacterial small subunit ribosomal RNA
Source: RNAcentral